This 468-nucleotide ribosomal RNA is filed under the name uncultured bacterium. RNAcentral describes it as "partial 16S ribosomal RNA". It matches the Rfam family "Bacterial small subunit ribosomal RNA", at positions 28 to 507 of the family's 1533-position model. The record is from RNAcentral.
GACGAACGCUGGCGGCGUGCUUAACACAUGCAAGUCGAACGGAAAGGCCCUGCUUUUGUGGGGUGCCCGAGUGGCGAACGGGUGAGUAACACGUGAGUAACCUGCCCUUGACUUUGGGAUAACUUCAGGAAACUGGGGCUAAUACCGGAUAGGAGCUCCUGCUGCAUGGUGGGGGUUGGAAAGUUUCGGCGGUUGGGGAUGGACUCGCGGCUUAUCAGCUUGUUGGUGGGGUAGUGGCUUACCAAGGCUUUGACGGGUAGCCGGCCUGAGAGGGUGACCGGCCACAUUGGGACUGAGAUACGGCACAGACUCCUACGGGAGGCAGCAGUGGGGAAUAUUGCACAAUGGGCGGAAGCCUGAUGCAGCAACGCCGCGUGCGGGAUGACGGCCUUCGGGUUGUAAACCGAUUUCGCCUGUGACGAGGCGUGAGUGACGGUAAUGGGUAAAGAAGCACCGGCUAACUACGUG